This 1604-nucleotide long non-coding RNA is filed under the name Manihot esculenta (cassava). RNAcentral's name for it is "long non-coding RNA (MESC_LNC006351)". Lineage: Eukaryota; Viridiplantae; Streptophyta; Magnoliopsida; Malpighiales; Euphorbiaceae. The record is from RNAcentral.
UUCAUGCAUGGACAGUUACCAAUGAUAAGAAAACAAGAUACAUAAAUUUAUCUUAUUCAAAGCAGCUUGGCAAAUUGCUAAUUGACCAAAGUCUUCUAUAUCAAAAAUUAUAAAAACAAUAGAAACAAUAGAAACAAUAAUUAAGUUUCUCUACCAGCCAAUACUUAAUUGGCAAUAAGCUUUUGGACAUACAUGUUAGUAAUUCUUGUGGGGUGUGCAUAGGCGUGUGUAUGUUCUGCAUGUGGAUUGUGUCAAUUUAGAGCAGGCAAAUGAACUUCAGACUUACUUGGAUAUUGAGAUUUCACUAACCAAAUGAAAUAUUGUGUUUAAAGACUAGCAUUUCAACCAAGCAUGAAUAAUUAAGAAUUCACCUAUCACCUCCUGAACUUUGUAUGUUAAUAACCAAAAAAAAAAAAAAAUUCAUGUAGAUCCAUUGCGAAAAUAUAUAGUGGGGUCCACAUGAAAAUCUAUGCAUUUACACUAUAUGUUAAUGUGGACCUGAUCUAGGCAGGAAUUGGCCAAGCAAAAUGUAACGCCCCGGAAAUCCGGACCGCUACCGGCGCUAGGAUCCAGAUCGGCGUAAGGCCGCCGGGACCCGUAGCAAGCCUAACAUAUAACCUGUAAACCUGCUUAAUCCCGUACAUGAUCAACAAUACUCAUAAACCUGUAAAUAUUCUCAUAUAACAACCAAGCUCAACCUGUACAUAAGCAUAAACAUAACAUGAACCUCCACUGGAGCCCUCAUCAAAUGCUCCAAUGUGGUAUCUCAUCAUACAUAAGCUUGGUUGAAACAUAACCUCAUAUCUCAUAUCAUAAAGACCAUGUACAUACAAGUGGGAUUAACAAUCUGUAUUGGUCAAGCACAACUCUAUCCUCAAUAUUCAAAUUACAUAACAUAACUUAAAACACUUUUACAUUGCAUCAUAAUACAAUUGUCAUGUCCACAAUCUAGCUAUUACAUAAACAUAACUUCCAUACUCUGGCUAACCUCCUGAUCUACGGUGAGAGUGAGUGGGGGAGGCGACCUAAUUUCCUAAGGGAAAUUUGGGCCAAAUCCACUUAGGGAAGGAUGCGUUUGACGAGAACCCAAGGGGACAAAUCCUGCCUGGAACCCGUGAGGGUGAAGGGAUGUUAAGAGCUGCUCACGACGCCAGUGGAAAGUCCGAGGUGGCAAGAGGCCAGGCGAGGGAUAGCCCUGGGCCGUGAGUGGUAACAGUGCCGGCAAAGAGAGAGGGCCGGGCUGUUACACAAAAGACUCUACAAUUUGUUAAUUAUCAAACGGACAAAUUUCUUAUAUAACAUCCAGAUCAGAAUCUUGUUGGGCAGGGAAGACCAUGUUAGUACAUAAUUUUGAUAUAAUUCAUUAAUUACUGAUUAACUAUCAUCCAGGAAGUGGUGAAAGCCCCCUAAUCCUUAGUAUUUUAUGCAGUUUUAUGAAGCAAACCUUCUGUUCGGGCAUUUGGCUUCAUUGUCUUGGUAAACAGUGAUUUUUCAAAAGCUAACUUUGCAUUAUUAGUAGGCCAAUCAUCUGAGUAGUAUUUGACAGCCACACGUUUCCCUUCAGAGUCUAGCAGAAGAAUGCUCUUUACCAUGGGGCAAGCAUC